RNAcentral lists this ribosomal RNA (1420 nucleotides) under activated sludge metagenome. RNAcentral describes it as "bacterial LSU rRNA". It matches the Rfam family "Bacterial large subunit ribosomal RNA", at positions 1101 to 2488 of the family's 2925-position model. The record is from RNAcentral.
UUGGCUUAGAAGCAGCCACCCUUUAAAGAAAGCGUAAUAGCUCACUGGUCAAGCGAGCCCGCGCCGAAAAUACAACGGGGCUCAAGCUCGACACCGAAGCCGCGGGCUCUCGUAAGAGAGCGGUAGGGGAGCAUUCUCACGGAGAUACACGCCGGACGGAGACGACCGGUAGCGGCCGUGAGAAGAGCUUAUGCAGGCAUGAGUAGCGAUAAACCGAGUGAGAAACUUCGGUCGCCGUAAGCCCAAGGUUUCCUGGGGAAGGAUAAUCCUCCCAUGGGUCAGUCGGUCCCUAAGCCGAGGCCGAAAGGCGUAGGUGAUGGAUGGCAGGUUAAUAUUCCUGCACCACCAGGGAUGGCGUUGAAGUAAGCGGGGACGGAGAAGGGUAGGCCUAGCGCAGCGCAAGGUCGUCUGCGUUCAAGCCCGUAGGGUGAGCCGUGAGGACCCGAUAGGGACAAACCACGGCUCGCAUGCCCGAGAGGUGAUGAGGUCCGGAUUCAUCCGGAACACUAGGUGAUCCCAAGCUUCCAAGAAAAGCCGCGUACAGAGCCACUCUGGUGACCGUACCGCAAACCGACUCAGGUGGGCGGGGUGAAUAUCCCAAGGCGCGUGAGAGAACCCUGGUUAAGGAACUAGGCAAAAUAACACCGUAACUUCGGGAGAAGGUGUGCCGUUGAUGGUGAAGCCCUCCUCGGGCCGAGCUGUUGGCGGUUGCAGCGAAAUGGGGAUUGUGACUGUUUACUAAAAACAUAGGACUCUGCAAAGUCGAAAGACGACGUAUAGGGUCUGAUGCCUGCCCGGUGCUGGAAGGUUAAGGGGACGAGUCAGCGCAAGCGAAGCUCGAAACCGAAGCCCCAGUAAACGGCGGCCGUAACUAUAACGGUCCUAAGGUAGCGAAAUUCCUUGUCGGGUAAGUUCCGACCUGCACGAAUGGCAUAACAACAUCCCCGCUGUCUCAACCAGGGACUCAGCGAAAUUGUAUUGGGGGUGAAGAUACCCUCUACCCGCGGCAAGACGGAAAGACCCCAUGAACCUUCACUGCAGCUUGGCAGUGAACUUCGGAUUGUUCUGCGUAGGAUAGGUGGGAGGCUGUGAAGUCGGGCUUCCGGGUUCGGCUGAGCCAACGUUGAAAUACCACCCUGGACAAUCUGGGGUUCUAACCUGGACCCAUGAUCUGGGUCGGGGACACUGCCUGGUGGGCAGUUUGACUGGGGCGGUCGCCUCCGAAAACGUAACGGAGGCGUGCGAAGGUUCCCUCAGCCUGAUUGGAAACCAGGCGUAGAGUGCAAACGCAUAAGGGAGCUUAACUGUGAGACCGACAGGUCGAGCAGGUGCGAAAGCAGGUGUUAGUGAUCCGGUGGUUCCAAGUGGAAGGGCCAUCGCUCAUCGGAUAAAAGGUACUCUGGGGAUAACAGGCUGAUCG